Molecule: long non-coding RNA, 430 nt
Organism: Cervus elaphus (red deer)
Lineage: Eukaryota; Metazoa; Chordata; Mammalia; Artiodactyla; Cervidae
Exons: 3
Source: RefSeq, a predicted model, not a curated record
AAAAGAGUGAACUGAGUUUAUAAAGCUAUGUGUUUAAGAAUAAAUUUCAAGAUGCUAUUUUUCCAGCAGCCUAUGAAUCACUUCAACUCAUUUGCAAACUCAACUGUCUGCCAGAGGAAAUUCAUUUUUGAUGACCGUGGAGAGAAUGAAAGGCGUCAUAUAUGGGGCUUUCCCCUCCUAUGGUUAUGAGCUGUCCUGCUGGAGGGGAAAUAUUCCUGCUUCAAUUUUUAUCCUGCCCACAUCCAAACAGCAACGAUGAACACACUGGAGUUAACUGUCACCAUAUUAGCGUGGAAUCAUUUAUCAUGUUAUCGAUUGCCUGUGGUCAGUUCACCCUCAUGAUUUCCCAAGACGGAAGCGAGUGGAUGGAUAGUACCCCAACAUCUGGCAGCCCUUGAUGCUCCAGUUUGGGGGAUCAAUUCACUCUCCU